Long non-coding RNA from Sorghum bicolor (sorghum), 768 nucleotides. RefSeq lists it as uncharacterized. The transcript is spliced from 2 exons. Lineage: Eukaryota; Viridiplantae; Streptophyta; Magnoliopsida; Poales; Poaceae. The record is from RefSeq and is a predicted model, not a curated record.
CAUUUUUUUCAGGUAAAAGGGGAUCUCAUCUCUUUCUUGUCAAGAACUUUGAGUCAUGCGAAUCGCCCUAUGAAAGAAAUAGAAAUAAAUAUCUUCUUCCUCCUAUGAACUACGUGUGGAGUAACGUGAAGAAAGGGAGCUGCUUCUUCCCCAUCCAUCCCUCGGGCAGCAAAAUGCAUUCUGCGAACCAUUCAGAAAGCUAACACACCUGUGAUAUACGGAGUACUUGUCCCCCGAUGCUGCUGAGAGCGAAACCAAUCUCCUGCAGUCCUUGGUCGUAUUCAAUCACACGCAGGUCCCUCUUGUGAAGACAUCUUCCGGCGAGACAAUCUGCACGAUUAAUGUGAUUCUUUGUUCAUAUUCAGUGACGGCAAGACAAUCUGUGCAGCUGUUGAACGUGUUCAUAGGAUCAUCAGGUUCCACAUUCCGGCUGCCAAGGGGCAGGGGUUCAGCGUCCCACUGCGACGAGUGUACCUCUGCCAGGGUGAGCUGCCCUGUUAGAAAUAUUCAGCAUUUGACUAGUAUUAGUGGUAGGCCUCUUCAUACGUGAUCAUGCAUAUGUAUUUGACUAGUAUUAGUGGUUGGCCUCUUCAUACGUGAUCAUGCAUAUGUGUUGUACUAAACAUAGAGCAUUAGUCAUAGACUAGAUCCUUGUCUUUGGGCUUUGUACGGUUGUAACAACUCAUCUCCUGUAAGCCACGGUGGGGGCUUUUCCCACCUUUACUUAACACGCAACCGUGAGCCUCAACAGGCAUCACGUUACCACCA